UCAUAAUAUAUGUUAAUAGUCGGUUGAUAAAAACUAUCGUUUAAAAUCUAAAGAUCUUGGCAGUGUCCUUAUAUAAUCAGGGGAGUCUGUUUCUUAAUAUGAUAAUCCACAAAUAUCUUACCAUAUAUCGAAAUAUCAGUUUGUAUAUUGCCGUCAUUGUUUAACUUAAAAAUUUAAACAAAUUAGUAUUUUGCUAUAAUUUCAGGUCAAAAUGCAGCUAACAAUAUGGAGUAAUAAAUGGACUAUAUCUAUUACUAUUACUAGUCUUGAAAUACUACUAUAGAACUUGCCAGUAAUAAAGUUUAAUUAUAAUUUUAUUAAUCAAUAAUAAGACAUGCACAUAUCGCCCGUCACUCUCGUUGAAAAAUG
Molecule: ribosomal RNA, 369 nt
Filed under: Olavius sp. 'caledonia 1'
Lineage: Eukaryota; Metazoa; Annelida; Clitellata; Tubificida; Naididae
Description: partial 12S ribosomal RNA
Source: RNAcentral